CCUCGGGUUGUAAAGCACUUUCAGUAGGGAGGAAGGUAGUGUAGUUAACACCUGCACAUUUGACGUUACCUACAGAAGAAGCACCGGCUAACUCCGUGCCAGCAGCCGCGGUAAUACGGAGGGUGCGAGCGUUAAUCGGAAUUACUGGGCGUAAAGCGCAUGCAGGCGGCCUGUUAAGUCAGAUGUGAAAGACCCGGGGCGUUAACCUCCGGAAUUGCAUUUGAAACUGGCAGGCUAGAGUCUUGUAGAGGGGGGUAGGAAUUUCAGGUGUAGCGGUGAAAUGCGUAGAGAUCUGAAGGAAUACCAGUGGCGAAGGCGGCCCCCUGGACAAAGACUGACGCUCAGAUGCGAAAGCGUGGGGAGCAAACAGGAUUAGAUACCCUGGUAG
This 388-nucleotide ribosomal RNA is filed under the name uncultured bacterium. RNAcentral's name for it is "bacterial SSU rRNA". It matches the Rfam family "Bacterial small subunit ribosomal RNA", at positions 416 to 793 of the family's 1533-position model. The record is from RNAcentral.